This 265-nucleotide ribosomal RNA is filed under the name uncultured archaeon. RNAcentral describes it as "partial 16S ribosomal RNA". It matches the Rfam family "Archaeal small subunit ribosomal RNA", at positions 717 to 982 of the family's 1478-position model. The record is from RNAcentral.
ACACGACUACAUUAGAUACCCGGGUAGUCCCAGCCCUAAACGAUGCGCGUUAGGUGUAUCGGUGACCACGAGUCACCGAGGUGCCGAAGGGAAACCGUGAAACGUGCCGCUUGGGGAGUACGUCCGCAAGGAUGAAACUUAAAGGAAUUGGCGGGGGAGCACCACAACGGGUGGAGCCUGCGGUUUAAUUGGACUCAACGCCGGGAAGCUCACCGGAUAAGACAGCGGAAUGAUUGCCGGGCUGAAGACCCUGCAUGACCAGCUG